Molecule: ribosomal RNA, 462 nt
Filed under: uncultured bacterium
Lineage: Bacteria
Description: SSU rRNA
Rfam family: Bacterial small subunit ribosomal RNA
Source: RNAcentral
AGAAUCAACGCUGGCGGCGUGCCUAACACAUGCAAGUCGCACGAGAAAGUAGACUUCGGUCUGCGAGUAAAGUGGCGCACGGGUGAGUAACACGUGAAUAAUCUACCUCCGAGUGGGGAAUAACUUCGGGAAACCGAGGCUAAUACCGCAUAACACUUACGAGUCAAAGCAGCAAUGCGCUUGGAGAGGAGUUCGCGGCAGAUUAGUUAGUUGGCGGGGUAAUGGCCCACCAAGACGAUGAUCUGUAUCCGGCCUGAGAGGGCGCACGGACACACUGGAACUGAAACGCGGUCCAGACUCCUACGGGAGGCAGCAGUGGGGAAUUUUGCGCAAUGGGGGAAACCCUGACGCAGCAACGCCGCGUGGAGGAAGAAAUAUCUUGGUAUGUAAACUCCUUUCGAUCGGGACGAUAAUGACGGUACCGAGAGAAGAAGCCCCGGCUAACUUCGCGCCAGCAGCCGC